AUGAACGCUGGCGGCGUGCUUAACACCUUCCAGUCGCACGGGAAAUAUUUCAUUGAGACUUCGGUGGAUUUGAUUUAUUUCUAGUGGCGGACGGGUGAGUAACGCGUGGGUAACCUGCCUUAUACAGGGGGAUAACAGUCAGAAAUGGCUGCUAAUACCGCAUAAGCGCACAGAGCUGCAUGGCUCAGUGUGAAAAACUCCGGUGGUAUAAGAUGGACCCGCGUUGGAUUAGCUAGUUGGUGGGGUAACGGCCCACCAAGGCGACGAUCCAUAGCCGGCCUGAGAGGGUGAACGGCCACAUUGGGACUGAGACACGGCCCAGACUCCUACGGGAGGCAGCAGUGGGGAAUAUUGCACAAUGGGGGAAACCCUGAUGCAGCGACGCCGCGUGAAGGAAGAAGUAUCUCGGUAUGUAAACUUCUAUCAGCAGGGAAGAUAGUGACGGUACCUGACUAAGAAGCCCCGGCUAACUACGUG
RNAcentral lists this ribosomal RNA (477 nucleotides) under uncultured bacterium. Its description in RNAcentral is "partial 16S ribosomal RNA". It matches the Rfam family "Bacterial small subunit ribosomal RNA", at positions 29 to 507 of the family's 1533-position model. The record is from RNAcentral.